AAUGAACGCUGGCGGCGUGCCUAACACAUGCAAGUCGGAUGUGCCGCAAGGUGCAUGGCAGACGGGUGAGUAACGCGUAGGGAAUCUACCUCUUUGUGGGGAAUAACGCUCCGAAAGGAGUGGUAAUACCGCAUGAGACCGAUGACUGGGAUGUUGUCGGUGAAACCUGGGGACCGCAAGGCCUGGGGCAAGGAGAGGAUCCUGCGUCUGAUUAGCUAGUUGGCGGGGUAAUGGCCCACCAAGGCGACGAUCAGUAGCCGGCCUGAGAGGAUGAUCAGCCACACUGGAACUGAGACACGGUCCAGACUCCUACGGGAGGCAGCAGUGGGGAAUAUUGGACAAUGGGCGCAAGCCUGAUCCAGCCAUACCGCGUGGGUGAAGAAGGCCUUCGGGUUGUAAAGCCCUUUUGUUGGGAAAGAAAUCCAGCCGGCCAAUACCUGGUUGGGAUGACGGUACCCAAAGAAUAAGCACCGGCUAACUUCGUGCCAGCCGCCGCGGUAA
Molecule: ribosomal RNA, 501 nt
Filed under: uncultured bacterium
Lineage: Bacteria
Description: partial 16S ribosomal RNA
Rfam family: Bacterial small subunit ribosomal RNA
Source: RNAcentral